GCGCCCGUAGCUCAAUGGAUAGAGCAUCUGACUACGGAUCAGAAGGCUAUAGGUUCAAGUCCUAUCGGGCGCACCA
This 76-nucleotide transfer RNA is filed under the name Nitrospira sp. RNAcentral's name for it is "tRNA-Arg". It matches the Rfam family "tRNA". From Rfam's summary of the family: Transfer RNA (tRNA) molecules are approximately 80 nucleotides in length. Their secondary structure includes four short double-helical elements and three loops (D, anti-codon, and T loops). The record is from RNAcentral. RNAcentral also lists the same sequence under 2 other names. Lineage: Bacteria; Pseudomonadati; Nitrospirota; Nitrospiria; Nitrospirales; Nitrospiraceae.